Molecule: ribosomal RNA, 402 nt
Filed under: bacterium enrichment culture clone ALO1_GLFRUDD03G4IWD
Lineage: Bacteria
Description: bacterial SSU rRNA
Rfam family: Bacterial small subunit ribosomal RNA
Source: RNAcentral
GAGUUUGAUCUUGGCUCAGAUUGAACGCUGGCGGCAGGCCUAACACAUGCAAGUCGAGCGGAUGACGGGAGCUUGCACCUUGAUUCAGCGGCGGACGGGUGAGUAAUGCCUAGGAAUCUGCCUGGUAGUGGGGGGACAACGUUUCGAAAGGAACGCUAAUACCGCAUACGUCCUACGGGAGAAAGCAGGGGACCUUCGGGCCUUGCGCUAUCAGAUGAGCCUAGGUCGGAUUAGCUAGUUGGUGGGGUAAUGGCUCACCAAGGCGACGGUCCGUAACUGGUCUGAGAGGAUGAUCAGUCACACUGGAACUGAGACACGGUCCAGGCUCCUACGGGAGGCAGCAGGUGGGAAUAUUGGACAAGUGGGACGAAAGCCUGAUCCAGCCAUGCCGCGUGUGUGAAG